Molecule: ribosomal RNA, 464 nt
Filed under: Vreelandella stevensii
Lineage: Bacteria; Pseudomonadati; Pseudomonadota; Gammaproteobacteria; Oceanospirillales; Halomonadaceae
Description: partial 16S ribosomal RNA
Rfam family: Bacterial small subunit ribosomal RNA
Source: RNAcentral
CUACGGGGGGCAGCAGUGGGGAAUAUUGGACAAUGGGGGGAACCCUGAUCCAGCCAUGCCGCGUGUGUGAAGAAGGCCCUCGGGUUGUAAAGCACUUUCAGUGAGGAAGAACGCCUGGUGGUUAAUACCCAUCAGGAAAGACAUCACUCACAGAAGAAGCACCGGCUAACUCCGUGCCAGCAGCCGCGGUAAUACGGAGGGUGCGAGCGUUAAUCGGAAUUACUGGGCGUAAAGCGCGCGUAGGUGGCUUGAUAAGCCGGUUGUGAAAGCCCCGGGCUCAACCUGGGAACGGCAUCCGGAACUGUCAAGCUAGAGUGCAGGAGAGGAAGGUAGAAUUCCCGGUGUAGCGGUGAAAUGCGUAGAGAUCGGGAGGAAUACCAGUGGCGAAGGCGGCCUUCUGGACUGACACUGACACUGAGGUGCGAAAGCGUGGGUAGCAAACAGGAUUAGAUACCCGAGUAGUC